This 774-nucleotide ribosomal RNA is filed under the name uncultured Neocallimastigales. Its description in RNAcentral is "partial large subunit ribosomal RNA". It matches the Rfam family "Eukaryotic large subunit ribosomal RNA", at positions 23 to 615 of the family's 3401-position model. Lineage: Eukaryota; Fungi; Neocallimastigomycota; Neocallimastigomycetes; Neocallimastigales. The record is from RNAcentral.
AGAGAGAGACAUGCGCGCAUAUCAAUAAGCGGAGGAAAAGAAACUAACAAGGAUUCCCCUAGUAACGGCGAGUGAAGCGGGAAGAGCUCAAAUUUGAAAUCUUAAAGGGUUUCCCUUUACGAAUUGUAGUUUAAAGAAGUGUUUUCUGUUGAGGUUUUGGUAAAAGUUCUUUGGAAUAGGACAUCAUAGAGGGUGAGAAUCCCGUAUUUGACCUUUACUUUCAACUUUGUGAUACACUUUCAAAGAGUCGGAUUGUUUGGGAAUGCAGUCCAAAAUGGGUGGUAAAUUUCAUCUAAAGCUAAAUAUUGGCGAGAGACCGAUAGCGAACAAGUACCGUGAGGGAAAGAUGAAAAGAACUUUGAAAAGAGAGUUAAACAGUACGUGAAAUUGUCAAAAGGGAAGCGUUUGACACCAGUGUUGUUUUUCUGAAAAUCAAUUAAAGAACUGUUUAUGCUAAGUUGUUUAGACUUUAUCAGCUAACUAUUUAGUUUUGAGCUUUUCUUUAAUGCACCUUUUCAGUUAACAAGUCAACAUCAAUUUCUUUUGCUGUAAAAAAGCUUGAGGAAGGUGGCUUGAGAUUCGUCUUAAGUGUUUAUAGCCUCUUGCCUAUGCAGUCGGAGAGAUUGAGGUCUGCAGCGUAGAUCCUUCGGGGCUAAAUGCAUUUGUGCUAAGUUAUAGCAUUUUAUAGACAACUUGUUGACUAUGAUUUGUCUUGUAGCUUACUCGCUUAUGUUAUUUUACCUACGCUUAGGAUGUUGAGCGCAUGUCUCCUCU